GACGAACGCUGGCGGCGUGCUUAACACAUGCAAGUCGAACGCUGAAGCUCAGCUUUUGUUGGGUGGAUGAGUGGCGAACGGGUGAGUAACACGUGAGUAACCUGCCUCCUUCUUUGGGAUAACGCCCGGAAACGGGUGCUAAUACUGGAUAUUCACUGGUCUUCGCAUGGGGGUUGGUGGAAAGGGUUUUUCUGGUGGGGGAUGGGCUCGCGGCCUAUCAGCUUGUUGGUGGGGUGAUGGCCUACCAAGGCUUUGACGGGUAGCCGGCCUGAGAGGGUGACCGGUCACAUUGGGACUGAGAUACGGCCCAGACUCCUACGGGAGGCAGCAGUGGGGAAUAUUGCACAAUGGGCGCAAGCCUGAUGCAGCGACGCCGCGUGAGGGAUGGAGGCCUUCGGGUUGUGAACCUCUUUCGCUCAUGGUCAAGCCGCAACAACGGUUGUGGUGAGGGUAGUGGGUAAAGAAGCGCCGGCUAACUACGUG
This 483-nucleotide ribosomal RNA is filed under the name uncultured bacterium. RNAcentral describes it as "partial 16S ribosomal RNA". It matches the Rfam family "Bacterial small subunit ribosomal RNA", at positions 28 to 507 of the family's 1533-position model. The record is from RNAcentral.